AUCAAGAUCUGGACUGCAGAGCACGUCUUUCACCACCCGUGGGAAACUGUUACAACAGCUGCAAUGCACAAAUACCCAAGCCCUGCGAACCUGAGCAGGGUGUGGGUUGAUGUGUUGGAAGGAUAUAUAGAUCCCUCUGGAAAGUUGCAAGGCCACAGACUUCUCUGCACAGAGUGGGAACUGCAAGUCCCUUACUGUUGCAGCAAGAGCCAAAACAUAGUCUUCAGGACCCAGAAAAAAAACUAUUUUGACUCAAGAAACCACAAUCAUUGUGAAAAGAAUCAGCCUCAGCAGUUACCUUGAAGAACUGAAGACAAGUACAAUAUCUUCAAAUGCUAAUAAAGGCUGAGAAGCACUGGAAUGGGUAAUACUUAAACUACAUGUUAAGAUUGAGAAAUUGCUGGCUUCAAAAAGAGGAAGCAUAAGAACUCGGAUAGUAGCAGCAUCAUUUACAGAGAAA
RNAcentral lists this long non-coding RNA (460 nucleotides) under Homo sapiens (human). RNAcentral's name for it is "non-protein coding lnc-SELENOP-4:2". The record is from RNAcentral. Lineage: Eukaryota; Metazoa; Chordata; Mammalia; Primates; Hominidae.